GACGAACGCUGGCGGCGUGCUUAACACAUGCAAGUCGAGCGGUAAGGCCCUUUCGGGGGUACACGAGCGGCGAACGGGUGAGUAACACGUGGGUGACCUGCCUUUAGCUCUGGGAUAAGCCUGGGAAACUGGGUCUAAUACCGGAUACGACUCCGCGGUGCAUGCUGUGGGGUGGAAAGCCUUGUGCGGCUGGAGAUGGGCCCGCGGCCUAUCAGCUUGUUGGUGGGGUGAUGGCCUACCAAGGCGACGACGGGUAGCCGGCCUGAGAGGGCGACCGGCCACACUGGGACUGAGACACGGCCCAGACUCCUACGGGAGGCAGCAGUGGGGAAUCUUGCGCAAUGGGCGAAAGCCUGACGCAGCGACG
This 367-nucleotide ribosomal RNA is filed under the name uncultured bacterium. RNAcentral describes it as "bacterial SSU rRNA". It matches the Rfam family "Bacterial small subunit ribosomal RNA", at positions 28 to 396 of the family's 1533-position model. The record is from RNAcentral.